This 393-nucleotide ribosomal RNA is filed under the name uncultured bacterium. RNAcentral's name for it is "bacterial SSU rRNA". It matches the Rfam family "Bacterial small subunit ribosomal RNA", at positions 30 to 426 of the family's 1533-position model. The record is from RNAcentral.
AUUGAACGCUGGCGGCAUGCCUUACACAUGCAAGUCGAACGGCAGCGGACCUUCGGGUGCCGGCGAGUGGCGAACGGGUGAGUAAUAUAUCGGAACGUACCUUUCAGUGGGGGAUAACGUAGCGAAAGUUACGCUAAUACCGCAUAUUCUGUGAGCAGGAAAGCAGGGGAUCGCAAGACCUUGCGCUGAUUGAGCGGCCGAUAUCAGAUUAGCUAGUUGGUGAGGUAAAGGCUCACCAAGGCGACGAUCUGUAGCGGGUCUGAGAGGAUGAUCCGCCACACUGGAACUGAGACACGGUCCAGACUCCUACGGGAGGCAGCAGUGGGGAAUUUUGGACAAUGGGCGCAAGCCUGAUCCAGCCAUGCCGCGUGAGUGAAGAAGGGCCUCGGUUGU